UAGUCCAUUCACUUUGGGUUCUCCUUGUUUUAGGGUGUUCCUACAUCAUCAGUCGCUGAUUCUAAUGGCUAUAGAGAUAAGAGGGAUAGAAGCAGAGAUGACACAUUGACCACUGUCAUGUCAGAGAUCGGAAAGUCAGAAUAAUAGAUGGGGCUUCUCUAUAUGCACUUUGCCGAUCAUGGUUGAGGAAUGGUUAUCCAGAAGAAAGUCAGCCACAGUAUGGGGAUGCUGUGAAGUCUCUUCCAAAACCUUUGCCUAUACCCGUGUCAGCCACUCAUCUGCCAAAGAACAAGGAAGCUGAAGAAGAAGAGGCAGAGGAUAAGGAGGAUGAGGAAUCUGUUGAGCAUUUGUCACCUCAAGAUCUUUUGAAAGGACACAUCAAACAUGCUAAAAAGGUUCGAGCACGAGUAAGGGAAGAACAGUUACGGCGAAUUGCAAGGUAUAACAGUAGGCUUGCUCUUCUCCUUCCUCUGCUGGUAGAACAGUUCAGAAAUGAUACAGCUCCUAGAAACUGAUUCUUGCAGCGUUGACCAGACAUCUUUGUUAAUAUUGGGCAUCCUCUUGCACUUCUUGUCAAAGUUGUAAACUUGCAGAGGUUCUUAAGCCUUUAUGGGAUACAGGAAAAGUGACUCAAAUUUGCUGGAGUUCAUUGAUCAAGAUGCAAGCCAGGCGAUUGUAAAAUUGUUUGGGGAGGUUUUUGCUUAUAAAUAUACAUAGAAUUGUUGUUAGCUUUGCCCUUGUGUUUACAUCAUCGUGCAACUUCGAAACAGAGUGCAAAUGUUCUCUGCUAAUCUCUAAUUAAUCUACUUUCGUUUUUUCU
Molecule: non-coding RNA, 820 nt
Organism: Corylus avellana
Lineage: Eukaryota; Viridiplantae; Streptophyta; Magnoliopsida; Fagales; Betulaceae
Source: RefSeq, a predicted model, not a curated record